Sander lucioperca (pikeperch) is the source of this 316-nucleotide long non-coding RNA. RefSeq lists it as uncharacterized. The transcript has 3 exons. NCBI's taxonomy places the organism in Eukaryota, Metazoa, Chordata, Actinopteri, Perciformes, Percidae. The record is from RefSeq and is a predicted model, not a curated record.
ACAAACUCAGCUUUCCAGUGAGUGACGCCCAAAUUUGUGCAAAGAGAUAAGUUGGCGCUAAAGCUGAAACGUUGAUGUUCGCUUUUUGAAAUUCCUAAAAUCUCUUUUUGAAAACAAACCUAACCUAUGAUGUGUUGUAUGAAUUGUUUCGGUGCUUGAAAUGAGAUUACCAAAGUCUUAGGUUAUAUGUGAUUAAAAUAGUAAAUAAAUGUCUCAAAUGAAAUUUUGGAAUAUUACUUUUUGAGUAGGAGUUUUGUCAAACGUCGUUUGGACGCACCAGUGCGUCUUUCGUCCUCUGAGGGUUAAAUACGUCUUU